Molecule: long non-coding RNA, 1233 nt
Organism: Cyprinus carpio (common carp)
Lineage: Eukaryota; Metazoa; Chordata; Actinopteri; Cypriniformes; Cyprinidae
Source: Ensembl
AGUAAUAUAUUGUGUAUAUAAACUUCUUGUAUGUUAGUGUAAAUGUAGGCCUAUAUUGCUGUUGAAAAGUUUGGAGUCAGUAAGACUUGUAUUGUAUUGGUUUGUAUUGUAUUGGUUUCCACAAAAAUAUUAAGCAGCACAACUGUUAACCCAAUGUUUGUUUGUGCUCAUGAUUUGUUUUACCAUAGCAACAUGUGCUAAUGCCAACUCUGUUGGAAACAACUGUGAAUGUUAAGAAAUGAAGAAUGAAGAUCUGCUUAGACAACCAGCAUGUCAUCAUCCAAAACACAACAUUUAUCUUUUCAGCAAGGUAGGGUGUAUGUAGGCAGUUUGCAUUGAGGCAGCACUCUUGGUUUCGGAACAGAACUAUUUAUUUUGUGUGAGCGCAGAUGUGUGCAGAUAUCUAGAUUUCAUGUGGAUGUAAAUGGUUGCAUGUGUCAUGAGUCAUUGUGUUCAUACUUUCCCCUGAAGGCUGUCCCAGAGACCUGAGGGAGAAGGAGGAGAGCUGGUUGUCAUGUCAACAACAAUGCAAGUCCAUGCAGGAGCAGCUGUUGUCGUGCCAACAGAAACAGGAGGUGGUGACCCAGAGACUACAAUGGGCAGAAGGUGAGAUGAAGGACCUGAGAGUGGCCCAAUCCACUUUACUGCAUGAGAGAUUCCUGAUUUCAUUCAUUCAGCCAUACAGGAGCUCCAUGAUGAGUUGACAGUGCUGCAGAAGUGCAUUAAAGAGCAGGAGAAAGAGAUGCAGCAUGUUGAUGUGAGCACCUCCCAGAGGCAGAAGCAACUCCUGCAAGAGCGGAUGGGAGAAGCACAGCUGCAGUCGGCCCUGCAGGACUGCGGCAGAAGACACAGGAGUAACAUAUAGCAGCUCAAAGACGAGAGGUCCACCCUAGAGGAAGAGGUGAGGGACAUCAUUCCACCUGUCCACUUACAGGUGGUAGUUUUAGAAGGGUUUUCAACACACACAUGAGCCCCAGCCAGAAAUGGAUUUAACAGACUGCACAUUUACACAAUUUCUGAACACUUUUUAGGAGAAACUAGCUGCUAAAGAUACUACAGUUUUCAUUUACAUAGUCUAAGGUGUGGUUAUUGACAAAUGCAUGCUGGGAGUGCACAUUUAAUUUUAACAUCAAACCAGAGUAAUAGAAAACAGUUAUUUUAAAUUGUAAUAAUAUUUCACAAUAUUACUGUUUAUAUUGUAUUUUGAUCAAAUAAAUGCAGCCUUGGUGAGCA